Long non-coding RNA from Aethalodelphis obliquidens (Pacific white-sided dolphin), 1949 nucleotides. RefSeq lists it as uncharacterized. The record is from RefSeq and is a predicted model, not a curated record. NCBI's taxonomy places the organism in Eukaryota, Metazoa, Chordata, Mammalia, Artiodactyla, Delphinidae. The transcript has 2 exons.
GUGGGCCUCAGUCCAGGCUGGUCUGUGCUGACGGCGUGAUACACAGUGGGGCUUCCUGAGUCGCCCCCGGGGGCUGGAGGCUAAGGUCAGGCACAUGGUGGUCCCCACAUUGACAUGACAGACCCCAAUAAACCCUGCACUUCAGGACUCAGGUGGGCUUCCCUGGGCUGCCACAGCCGAGGAGGCUGGACCCUGCUCGUCCCCCUGUCCUCGCUGAUUUUAACUUGCAUCCUUCACCAUAAUAAACCCUGGGUAUAACAGCUUCAGGGAAUUCUGGGAGCAAGAAAAAAGAAGCCGGGGAGGGGGUCUCUGGGUCCCCAGCCCUGCAGUUGGGGGCAGAAGUCGGUGGGGAGGAUCUUGGGGCCCUGGAAUCUGAAGGGCCCCCCUACCAGGGGAGGGGUGGGAGACCCUGGGUGGUAGUUAAGCUGAGUCCAAGGCCCUCCUGCGUAGGAGGCUUCCUAGCCCCGGGGAUCCUGAAGAGGCCGGCUCCCUCCUCCCCUCCGCCUCUAGGCCUGGUCCCUGCUCUUGAGAGAUUCCCUAGGGUGGGGUCCUGGUGCUGGAGGUGCCCCGAUGCUGUGGCCUCCUGAGUCUCCAGGGAGGAUAACGGGAGUGGGGGAAGACCUGUUCACAGAAAGGGAGCUUCUGCCGGAACAGAGCCUGGGUCUGCUGCCCCCGACCCCAGGUGCACUGGGGCAGGAAUGCGAGAGCGAGGCUCCCUCCCCUCCCAAGACACACAGGACACAUGGGCGCUGGUCGCUGGACUCCCACACAAUAUUAAAAUCUCCCACGCAGGUCUCAUGGAUGAGAGACACUAUUUAAAGACUAUUAAUGGGGGAGGGGGGCCCAGGGAGUGAGGCUGAUGUGGGGAGACUUGGAAAAUCACCCAAGGAUGCACUCUCCCUGCAGCGACCCCGCAGGUGAGCCCAGGUGGAGGUGGACCCGUCAAGUCAGAGCCCACAUCCUGGGUCUUUGGGGGACAAAUAGCCAAGCACCCCCAGUCCUUGCCUCCACCUGCUGCAGUUAGGGCCUGCCCUGUCUUCUUCAUGGCCAAGUUCUCACCCCUCCCAGAAGGCCUCUUGGAGGUUAAUGCGAUGGGGGUGUCCAUGGCAGGACUGGAGGGUCUGUGGUGGGCUGGAGGCCAUGUGGCAGGCAGGCGGGCUCCCACCGAUCCUGCCGGUCCACACCUCCUGGUCAUAGGCCCGCAGAGCCCACCAGGCUGUGGAUGUGGUAGAAGGUGCCGGGGACCGGUCCAGCCCAUGCAGGUGUCUGACCACCGAGCGGUCAGUGUGGAGUAUUCCCAGGGAGCCCUGGCCGUGCUCGCACCCUCCCGGGAAUGACACGUCAGCGUGGUCCCUGGAAUGACCGGGAGGUCAGCCAGAAGCGCCCCCACCCAACCUCACUGUACCACAAGAAACAAGAGACAACUCCGUGCAGAAAGACAGAACAUCACCAGCCUGAUGCUGUCCUGAGGAAGGUCGGCUGGCAUCUGGGAACUGGGUGCUAUGGUGGGUUGAAUGGGGAGGUCCCCCCAAAAGUUAUGUCCACGUCAUGGCUCCCAGAAUCUGAGAAAAGAACCUUAUUUGGAAGUAGGGUCUCAGCAGGUAUAAUUAGUUACGGAUCUGGAGAUGAGGUCAUCCUGGAUCCGGGUGGCCCUGAAUCAGUGACAGUGUCCUUCUAAGAGACUAGAGGAGAGACACAGACACACAGGAGACACCAUGUGAAGAUGGAGGCAGAGACAGGAGGGAUGAGGCCACAAGCCCAGGGAGGCCUGGAGCCCCCAGAAGCUGGAAGAGGCGGGAAGGACCCUCCCCUGGAGCCUCCGGAGGGAGCGCGGGCCUGGGACACCUUGACCUCAGACGUCUGGUCUCCGGGACUGAGAGAGGACAGGUUUCUGUUGCUCUGAGCCUCCGUUUGUGGUCGUUUGUCACAGCUGCCCCGGGAAGCUAAUG